Molecule: non-coding RNA, 47 nt
Organism: Picea glauca (white spruce)
Lineage: Eukaryota; Viridiplantae; Streptophyta; Pinopsida; Pinales; Pinaceae
Source: Rfam
CUAGAGGUUUUUAUAAAAACCAUAAAAAACAAUCAAAAACAUGCGAU